Molecule: ribosomal RNA, 253 nt
Filed under: uncultured bacterium
Lineage: Bacteria
Description: partial 16S ribosomal RNA
Rfam family: Bacterial small subunit ribosomal RNA
Source: RNAcentral
UACGUAGGGUGCGAGCGUUAAUCGGAAUUACUGGGCGUAAAGCGUGCGCAGGCGGUUCGCUAAGACCGAUGUGAAAUCCCCGGGCUUAACCUGGGAGCUGCAUUGGUGACUGGCGGGCUAGAGUAUGGCAGAGGGGGGUAGAAUUCCACGUGUAGCAGUGAAAUGCGUAGAGAUGUGGAGGAAUACCGAUGGCGAAGGCAGCCCCCUGGGCCAAUACUGACGCUCAUGCACGAAAGCGUGGGGAGCAAACAGG